CUUUAUCAUUUUAAUUUCAGAGAAGUCAAUAAGCUUACUUUUCUAAUAAGCUUAUCUAACCUGCAAGGUGUAACAGUUAUUGAAGUGGACCCUUUGGCUUACUCCUUAAAUGCUAACAUGCUAUUGAACCAGUUCUCAGAAGCAGGUAAUUCCCAAGUCACAACUAAUAUAUGGAUGAGGUUAGA
Long non-coding RNA from Eptesicus fuscus (big brown bat), 185 nucleotides. RefSeq lists it as uncharacterized. The transcript has 3 exons. Lineage: Eukaryota; Metazoa; Chordata; Mammalia; Chiroptera; Vespertilionidae. The record is from RefSeq and is a predicted model, not a curated record.